RNAcentral lists this transfer RNA (68 nucleotides) under Marmota monax (woodchuck). RNAcentral describes it as "tRNA.Ala". The record is from RNAcentral. Lineage: Eukaryota; Metazoa; Chordata; Mammalia; Rodentia; Sciuridae.
GGAUUGUGGCUCAAUGGUAGAACACUCGCCUAGCAUGUGUGAGGCACUGGGUUCGAUCAUCAGCGCCA